GGCGAAGGAUGCAAGCGUUAUCCGGAUUCAUUGGGCUUAAAGGGAGCGUAGGCGGACUUAUAAGUCAGUGGUGAAAUCUCCGGGCUUAACCCGGAAACUGCCAUUGAUACUGUAGGUCUAGAGUACAUUUGCUGUGGGCGGAAUAUGACAUGUAGUGGUGAAAUACUUAGAUAUGUCAUAGAACACCGAUUGCGAAGGCAGCUCACAAAAAUGUAACUGACGCUGAGGCUCGAAAGUGCGGGGAUCAAACAGG
This 253-nucleotide ribosomal RNA is filed under the name uncultured bacterium. RNAcentral describes it as "partial 16S ribosomal RNA". It matches the Rfam family "Bacterial small subunit ribosomal RNA", at positions 524 to 776 of the family's 1533-position model. The record is from RNAcentral.